AGCUGGAAUCGCUAGUAAUCGCGGAUCAGCACGCCGCGGUGAAUACGUUCCCGGGCCUUGUACACACCGCCCGUCACACCAUGAGAGUCUGUAACACCCAAAGCCGGUGGGAUAACCUUUAUAGGAGUCAGCCGUCUAAGGUAGGACAGAUGAUUAGGGUGAAGUCGUAACAAGGUACC
This 179-nucleotide ribosomal RNA is filed under the name uncultured bacterium. RNAcentral's name for it is "partial 16S ribosomal RNA". It matches the Rfam family "Bacterial small subunit ribosomal RNA", at positions 1324 to 1500 of the family's 1533-position model. The record is from RNAcentral.